RNAcentral lists this long non-coding RNA (204 nucleotides) under Hordeum vulgare. Its description in RNAcentral is "long non-coding RNA (HVUL_LNC002608)". Lineage: Eukaryota; Viridiplantae; Streptophyta; Magnoliopsida; Poales; Poaceae. The record is from RNAcentral.
UGUGCGUAUGAAAAAAAUACAGUGUAUACGUGAAUAUGAUCAUCCUGUCCUUUAUUAUUAAGAGGUAUCGAUUAAUCUGGACCAUCUUUGUGUUUAGGAAGUGUAUCGAAGCAGAAGUGUAUUAUCUAAAUUAAUACAACCGAAAUAGACUUUCACCAUGCUUUAUAAAUAAAGCAACCAACAAGCCUAUACAAUGAGUAGAAA